CGCACAUUGCGCCCCUUGGUAUUCCGAGGGGCAUGCCUGUUCGAGCGUCAUUAUCACCCCUCAAGCUCCGGCUUGGUGUUGGACUACAUGGUUUGACCACAAACCGGUCUCAAAGAUAGUGACGGCGUCCUAGAAGGAGCCCGUACGAGGAGCUUUUCGUUAAGCAUGUACGCGGUAUGAUUUUCGGGGCGACGGUCUUAACCUAAACAUUUACAGUGUUGACCUCGGAUCAGGUAGGAAUACCCGCUGAACUUAA
Molecule: unclassified non-coding RNA, 256 nt
Filed under: Chaetothyriales sp.
Lineage: Eukaryota; Fungi; Ascomycota; Eurotiomycetes; Chaetothyriales
Description: partial contains 5.8S ribosomal RNA, internal transcribed spacer 2, and large subunit ribosomal RNA
Source: RNAcentral